UACGUAGGCAGCGAGCGUUGUUCGGAGUUACUGGGCGUAAAGGGUGUGUAGGCGGUUGUUUAAGUUUGGUGUGAAAUCUCCCGGCUCAACUGGGAGGGUGCGCCGAAUACUGAAUGACUAGAGUGCGGGAGAGGAAAGUGGAAUUCCUGGUGUAGCGGUGAAAUGCGUAGAUAUCAGGAGGAAUACCAGUGGCGAAGGCGGCUAACUGGACAGUAACUGACACUCAACUGCGAAAGCGUGGGGAGCAAACAGG
This 253-nucleotide ribosomal RNA is filed under the name uncultured bacterium. Its description in RNAcentral is "partial 16S ribosomal RNA". It matches the Rfam family "Bacterial small subunit ribosomal RNA", at positions 524 to 776 of the family's 1533-position model. The record is from RNAcentral.